This 800-nucleotide long non-coding RNA is filed under the name Astyanax mexicanus (Mexican tetra). RNAcentral describes it as "lncRNA (ENSAMXG00005016810.1)". The record is from RNAcentral. Lineage: Eukaryota; Metazoa; Chordata; Actinopteri; Characiformes; Acestrorhamphidae.
CUUUAUUAACGUAUUUUGAGCUUUUAGACUUUUUAAGAUUUAUAGGUUCUCUGAUUCCUUCAAACCCUAUACUAACACACAUCCAUUCGUAAGUUGUCAAAAGAUCUCCAAAAAAAGGUAAAGAAGAAGCAGCUCAGGGGAAAUGACCUCCUAUUGACUUUUCACAACCGUUGUCCUGGAGUUCAAAUGUCCUGUAGAAGAAAGUCAUCACUGGUGUACUAAGUAACAGAUGUUGAUCAAGAACAGGUCAGUAAAGGAAAAUAUAGUACAAACCUCGAUUGUAUUACUGCUUAAUAAUAUUACAGUUUCAUUAUCUUUGUUUAUGGAAAGAUUUUAAUAGUUAUAAAGGAGGAGAAAAUAGGAUCUGUUUGGUUAUAAAAACUCCACCAGUAAAAUAGUAAAAUAGUAGAACUAAAAUAGUUCCAUUUCUGCUCUGUUUGUAGCUGCGCUGUUUGGUUUGUAAGCGCUGCAUCGUUGCUAGGUUACCUGUAUGUGGCGGAGUAAUACAUGGAGAGCUUCACACAGGGCAUUACCGGCUGAUAACGAAGUGCGUCCGACCACCUGACAACAGUACUUAUUCAAGACUUUACAAGGUCUCCACAAGAAACACGGCAGUGAUUGUCCACCACCUACACUGCACUGCACAUGCAAGAUGGCAGAGUGCAGAAAGAAACAUUUAUGUGAAACCGACCGUCUAAAUACCACUGCAUCAAAAAACUCCAAUAUUUUAAGCAGCAGGGUUGGACCAGGUUAGCCAUGAUGCCAAGAGCUGGGCUCAGCAGAGGAGGAGCUGAGAUGCU